Heterocephalus glaber (naked mole-rat) is the source of this 147-nucleotide small nuclear RNA. Its record names the gene U2. It matches the Rfam family "U2 spliceosomal RNA". Rfam says of the family: U2 is a small nuclear RNA (snRNA) component of the spliceosome (involved in pre-mRNA splicing). Complementary binding between U2 snRNA (in an area lying towards the 5' end but 3' to hairpin I) and the branchpoint sequence (BPS) of the intron results the bulging out of an unpaired adenosine, on the BPS, which initiates a nucleophilic attack at the intronic 5' splice site, thus starting the first of two transesterification reactions that mediate splicing. Lineage: Eukaryota; Metazoa; Chordata; Mammalia; Rodentia; Bathyergidae. The record is from Ensembl.
AUUGCUUCUUGGCCUUUUGGCUAAGAUCAAGUGUAGCAUCAUUCAUAGAUUUUCAUUCUCAGGUUAACUUUUUCUAAAGGUAACCUCUACCAGGCCCAGUUUUUAUGGACUGAAGAGGAGGGAGAAGCUGGGUAUGGUGGCACAUUC